This is a long non-coding RNA of Gorilla gorilla gorilla (western lowland gorilla), 310 nucleotides long. RefSeq lists it as uncharacterized. NCBI's taxonomy places the organism in Eukaryota, Metazoa, Chordata, Mammalia, Primates, Hominidae. The transcript is spliced from 3 exons. The record is from RefSeq and is a predicted model, not a curated record.
GCCCUAAUUCAGACUAGUGUUCUUAUAGAGGAGAGUGUGCACAGAGGAGAGAUCAUGUGAGGACACAGCGAGAAGACAAUCAUCUGUAAGCCAAGGAGAGAGGCCUCAGAAAAAAAUCCACCCUGCUAAGAGCUUGAUCUUGGACUUACAGCCUCCAGGACUAUCUCAAAUUAACAGCCCAUUAUUAUGGAAGUUCUUUAUUGAUCACCAGAAUGGGUUAGGUGUACCUGUUAUUUAAAGAAAAAUAGUGAAGAUACUAUGGUGAGUCCACAUAUAUUUCAUAUUCAUUUUCCCAUUAUUAAUAUCUAAU